Molecule: long non-coding RNA, 967 nt
Organism: Thunnus maccoyii (southern bluefin tuna)
Lineage: Eukaryota; Metazoa; Chordata; Actinopteri; Scombriformes; Scombridae
Exons: 3
Source: RefSeq, a predicted model, not a curated record
AUAGAAGUACUUGAGCAAGUUGUCUCUCUGGACGUAGGUGCCUCCAAGGGCGGGCCUGAGAAGCCUCAUUCUAAGCAAAAGCAAAUGUUUACUGUAGGCAAGUGUGAUUAUGCUGGAGGAGGAGAGAAGAAGGACAGAGCAAGGGACACCAUGCUGCUCCGAAGCAGCAGCGAGGCUCGUCCCGCUCAGAUCAACACAGUUGGACCAGGACGAGUUAUGAACUUAUCUUCUAAUUCAGGCAAAUGCUUACAGCGCAUUGAAAGAAGCAAAAAUAUCAGAGAGACGUACUCCUUUCCUGAAAUGCACUGAUGAGUCUAGCGGCUCACUCUGGAUCCACUGGAUGGAGCGUCACCGGCCAAACCCCUUGUAAGGAAGCCCAUUAAGGAACCCAUCAAUAUUUCAUCAUCGCUCACUCAGAAACAUAGUUAUAGAAGUUUCCAGGCCGGGGCCAUUAGGGGGCAGACGUCAAUACGUUAUGGCAGCGAGCAUCUCUCUCCACUUCUUCUCCCUCUUUCUCAUGCCUCCUCCUCUCAAGAGCAGUCAUCGGAGAGGCUUUCUCAAGAAGACAGUGGUUUCCGCUUCUUCUACAUUAAACAAAUCAUUAACCAUUAGGUAUCCAAGGAGCACAAUAUCCUUUCCUGCUCCUGUCAAAUGACCCCCGCCCGCCAAGUGCUGCUAUUAGUCUCAGUGAGAAGAAGGGAGGGAGACUGGGGGGUGAGGGGUGGUUGUUUGUAAAAGCUGUCUUAAGGUAACAAAUGUCUAGUCACACAGAAUACAAACACCUAAUUAACAGUGUGGCAUGAUUGUAUAGCCUAAUGUGAUGUAGACAGGCAGGAACACUCUUUAGAAACGCUUUUGUUGUGAGACUUUUGACUCAUGUCUGUAAAAAGACGAGUCUAGCGCCUUCAACUCAGUGAGUGGACACUAUGGCAAUCAUCAAGAGGACAAACUCGCUGUCUCACACAAA